UACGAAGGGGGCGAGCGUUGUUCGGAGUUACUGGGCGUAAAGGGCGCGUAGGCGGCGCUCCAAGUUAGGCGUGAAAGCCCCGGGCUCAACCUGGGAAUUGCGCUUAAGACUGGAGUGCUCGAGUGCGGGAGAGGUGAGUGGAAUUCCCAGUGUAGAGGUGAAAUUCGUAGAUAUUCGGAGGAACACCAGUGGCGGAGGCGGCUCACUGGUCCGGUACUGACGCUGAGGUGCGAAAGCGUGGGGAGCAAACAGG
Molecule: ribosomal RNA, 253 nt
Filed under: uncultured bacterium
Lineage: Bacteria
Description: partial 16S ribosomal RNA
Rfam family: Bacterial small subunit ribosomal RNA
Source: RNAcentral